This is a long non-coding RNA of Canis lupus familiaris (dog), 874 nucleotides long. RefSeq lists it as uncharacterized. The transcript is spliced from 2 exons. Lineage: Eukaryota; Metazoa; Chordata; Mammalia; Carnivora; Canidae. The record is from RefSeq and is a predicted model, not a curated record.
CGCCCGCGACCUCCGCUUCCUGCGCCGCCCGCGAGCCCCCGCCCCUUCCUGCGCCGCCCGCGAGCCCGCGCCGCCGCCCCGGGAGCCCGCCCGCCACUCCCGAGCUCGCGGCGUCCGUCCGCCUGGCGCCUGGAGACCCGCCCGGGCCUCGGGAAGCGCCGGUUGCCCCCCGGCUCGCACGGGGCCCGCAGUCUCCGCCCCCGGGCUUUGCUCCUCCCGACCGGCUCCGAGGGGACCGGCCUUCCCGAGCCAGCUGCUGUACUGGACCCGUUAGGAUCUCUCGUAAAAGCUCUUGGGGGGAUUCGGGACAAAGUAAAACUAAAAGUCUGGCUUUCCUGGGUAAAGUUAUCCCUUUACCAGGGAUAGCAAUCGCGCAGAAAUUCGGAGCCCGAACUUUGGAGCCUACAGAUGGAGCCUUUUCUGGAGCGAGCCUGUUGUCCCCGCCCGAAAAUGCCGAACAGCGCGCGCUAAGUGGGCCCGCCCGGGCGCUCAACGUGGCCUGUAACGGGAGCUCCUCCUUGGGUGGUUGGCUAUUGUGUAAAUUUGCCCCAGUGAACAACUCUAACCUCGGCUGAACAGGGUCUUCUCUGAAUCCUGAAAACACUCCCUCUAUCAGUGGAUCCCCAGUUGGCUGACCUUCCACUUAUCUGAAAGGAGCAGAUAAAGGAAUCUGUUACCCUUCCAAGUACCUUGUUAUCUCAGAAUAUUUUAUUUUUAAAACAUGUGGUUAUAUUUUAAAAUAAAAUCUUGUCUAUCUUCAGAUGUAAGUACAAAGCACUUUAGGAUACGUAUUUCAGAAUUUUAAGUAUGUAAUUUUAGCCUUGUAAAGCAAUAGCUAUCCUAAUAAAAGGGGUAAGUGCCUAGGAUUGGAAAA